RNAcentral lists this ribosomal RNA (384 nucleotides) under uncultured bacterium. RNAcentral describes it as "bacterial SSU rRNA". It matches the Rfam family "Bacterial small subunit ribosomal RNA", at positions 28 to 408 of the family's 1533-position model. The record is from RNAcentral.
GACGAACGCUGGCGGCGUGCUUAAUACAUGCAAGUCGAGCGGACUCCAACCACUCGCAAGAGUGGGGAAGAGUUAGCGGCGAACGGGUGAGUAACACGUGAGGAACCUGCCCUGGAGACCGGGAUAACUCCCGAAAGGGGUGCUAAUACCGGAUGUCCUCAUCGGAUCGCAUGGUCUGAUGAGGAAAUGGAUUCCGCUCCAGGAGGGCCUCGCGGCCUAUCAGCUUGUUGGGAGGUAACGCUCACCAAGGCGUCGACGGGUAGCUGGUCUGAGAGGACGAUCAGCCACACUGGGACUGAGACACGGCCCAGACUCCUACGGGAGCAGCAGUAGGGAAUCUUGCGCAAUGGGCGAAAGCCUGACGCAGCAACGCCGCGUGGGGGA